GCUGGGUGUGGUGAUGCGUACCUGUAGUCCCAGCUACUUGGGAGGUUGAGGCAGGAGAAUCGCUUGAGCUCAGGAGGUUGAGGCUGCAGUGAGCCAUGAUCAUGCCACUGUACUCCAGCCUGGGUGACAGAGUGAGACCUUGCCUCAA
Molecule: unclassified non-coding RNA, 148 nt
Organism: Papio anubis (olive baboon)
Lineage: Eukaryota; Metazoa; Chordata; Mammalia; Primates; Cercopithecidae
Rfam family: Metazoan signal recognition particle RNA
About the family: The signal recognition particle (SRP) is a universally conserved ribonucleoprotein.
Source: Ensembl